UGACUGUACCCUAAGAAUAAGGUCCGGCUAACUUCGUGCCAGCAGCCGCGGUAAUACGAAGGGACCUAGCGUAGUUCGGAAUUACUGGGCGUAAAGCGCGCGUAGGCCGUUGAGUUAGUUAAUUGUGAAAUCCCAAAGCUUAACUUUGGAACUGCAAUUAAAACUGCUCGACUAGAGUUUGAUAGAGGAAAGCGGAAUACAUAGUGUAGAGGUGAAAUUCGUAGAUAUUAUGUAGAACACCAGUUGCGAAGGCGGCUUUCUGGAUCAACACUGACGCUGAGGCGCGAAAGUAUGGGUAGCAAAGAGGAUUAGAUACCCUCGUAGUCCAUACCAUAAACGAUGAUUGCUAGAUGUUGGAAAUUUAUUUUCAGUAUCGCAGCUAACGCAUUAAGCAAUCCGCCUGGGGAGUACGACCGCAAGGUUAAAACUCAAAUGAAUUGACGGGGACCCGCACAAGCGGUGGAGCAUGUGGUUUAAUUCGAAGAUACGCGCAGAACCUUACCAACCCUUGACAUGUCUGUCGCGAGUUUAGGAAACUAGACUUUUCGGUUCGGCCGGACAGAACACAGGUGCUGCAUGGCUGUCGUCAGC
This 591-nucleotide ribosomal RNA is filed under the name uncultured bacterium. RNAcentral's name for it is "bacterial SSU rRNA". It matches the Rfam family "Bacterial small subunit ribosomal RNA", at positions 470 to 1059 of the family's 1533-position model. The record is from RNAcentral.